Molecule: ribosomal RNA, 373 nt
Filed under: Natronolimnobius baerhuensis
Lineage: Archaea; Methanobacteriati; Methanobacteriota; Halobacteria; Halobacteriales; Natrialbaceae
Description: bacterial SSU rRNA
Rfam family: Archaeal small subunit ribosomal RNA
Source: RNAcentral
GCCGCCGCGGUAAUACCGGCAGCACGAGUGAUGACCGCUAUUAUUGGGCCUAAAGCGUCCGUAGCUGGCCAGGCAAGUCCAUCGGGAAAUCCGCGUGCUUAACGCGCGGGCGUCCGGUAGAAACUGCUUGGCUUGGGACCGGAAGACCAGAGGGGUACGUCUGGGGUAGGAGUGAAAUCCUGUAAUCCUGGACGGACCACCGGUGGCGAAAGCGCCUCUGGAAGACGGAUCCGACGGUGAGGGACGAAAGCUCGGGUCACGAACCGGAUUAGAUACCCGGGUAGUCCGAGCUGUAAACGAUGUCUGCUAGGUGUGCCACAGGCUACGAGCCUGUGGUGUGCCGUAGGGAAGCCGUGAAGCAGACCGCCUGGAA